UUCAUGCUCAGAAGAGGAAGGUAAAGGGAAGGGGGACGUGCAUGUAGCUCAUUUCGCUCUCCGGACGGAAGGAGAUGGACACCUGAACGGGACAUAUGGGUGUAGAAGCGGAGGGUUAGGCAGAGAUGCUGAAUGGAUGGGGCCGUUGCGACGUCACGCGGAGCCCCAGCCGCGCAGCGCACGAGCCAACACAAGACGACAUUGGGAAGCGCGAGGCGUUCUCAACCGCAGAGCCGUCCGUGCUGCUGAGAAACCCAAUCUUCACGAUAUAGUCUGAAGGACACGAGCCCAUGAUAGAGGUCUGAAUUCGAGUUUCUCAUUUCCCUCCCUGGCUGGAAGAGAUGGUUGGCCGAAGGGGUUGGCUGUUAUCUUUGGUUAUCUAGCUGUAUGAGUGAUGUACGUUCUUCAUAAAGCUAGAUAACCGAAAGUAACAAGAAUCCCAUUACACACCUGAAAGGCCACACCCAUCCAACACUCCACAACCCACCCCCUGCUUUCUCUUCUCACAAGACCAACGACAUGAAAUGGCAAACAGGAGAAGCAGAAUCGAUUUUUCCCAGCCUUGAUUCUCAGAUGGUUGAGUCUGAUUUGCAUGCAUUUGCAUAAUGAAAGUCAUUUGCAUGCUCCGGGGCAGACUGUACCAUGUGAACAGACAUUAAAAGACGUCCAAUCUCUGUGUCGAAAAGAUGCCAGCGAAAGGGAAGGAAAACAUGGAGGAUGUUAAGGAGGAGGGGCGGGUUGAUGUUGAGACUCUCUGUGCCCCAGUAUGCAUUGCUGCUCUCAGCCCCUCCUCUCGCUGCCUGCCUGCCCCUUCCUCUUGUGACGAGCGGCAAUCCACGCUUCACCACCAUCUUAGAGAGCGCUGGCAUGAAAUGGAAGAGGGAGGAAGAAUGAGCAGGUGAAGAAUAAAAGAGGAUUUUUAUAAAUGACACCUGAUCAUGGAUGACAAAUCAGUGCCUGCUGAUGAAAUGUCUGCACCAUUUCAUUGUGUGCCCCAACAUUAUAACAUUGAAGCACUUUAAAUGCCUCUUUAUUUCUUUUGCACAUUUUGUCAUUUUAUGUUUAAAAAUGUUUUAAUUGUUUAAUUUUUUUCUGUUUUUUAAAGGAAAUUAUCUAUUAUAAUUUAGAAUCUAUUAUAAUCUGACAUCUGACAUUAGCUGUGCAUACUCUACCUGGAUGUGUAAUUGAAAUUGCUUUCAAACAUAUAAUCUCAGACUACAGGGUAUCUCAAAUGUCUCCAUACAUAGGGGACUAAGCACCACGUCGGUUGUGCCUUCGUCAGUGGAUGUUAGUGGACGUCCACUUCUCGGUUGGUCCGCAACACUUCCAGUCUUUUUGAAUUUGUUAGGAAGUUUGGCGAUUUGUUAGAAAGUUUAGUGUUGUGUGUGAUGUGCUUGCCGUGUUUCCUGUUAAAGUCCAUCGUAACCUUGCGACAGCUUCCCGAUCCAGCCAUGAGAAUGAUUUCAAUAUGUUCUUCUUUUGUCAAAGGCGUUCUUAAAGGCUAUCUGAAAAAAAAUAUAUAAUAUAAACUACGUAUGAAAAAUUUUGGAAGACAUUUUGGUAAAAGAUGUUAAUUUUCCCUAUGUAUGGAGACUUUUGGGACACCCUGUAGUUUGCUACAAACGAAAUGCUAUUUUUUUUAACUAUAUUAAUAUCCUACAGAGGCCAACCAUUAAAUACAUUUAAAGUGUUAUGUAUGUAUGUAUGUAUGUAUGUAUGUAGGUAUGUAUGUAUGUAUCUAUGUGUAUGUAACCCUGGUCAAACUGAUAGAUAGCUUACUAGCACUUGUAUUUACUGUCUUGUAUUUAAUGUCACAGGCAAGGCUUGAGAGCAUCUGCUAUGAUAAAAAUGACACUGUUUAAUCUGAUUGUAAUGUUAUAUUCAAAAUGAGUAGCUGAAUAUUAGUUUCUGCAAAGUGUAGUCUGCUGAACUAGUGGUGUAGACAUCAUGAAUGUGAGACCCACGGCAGCAGUGAAGGGUUACUGCACUGUGACUGAACAGCUCUGUGUGUUGAUAUUUACACACCUGGUAUAGAGAGAGCUGUUGUCUUUAUUCUCUAUGCAAUUGAGUUGGUCAUGCAAUCAUUACUGACCAGUGUAGGACCUGUCCUGAGCAGAUGGAACCUCCUUUAUUCAAGUUUGAAAAUAAUAGCUUAAAUAUGUUAUAAAAAAUACUGGUGUACUAUUAAGGAAAACACUAUACAAUACUUUACAUGGUCUGUGCUAUUUUGUUUUAUUUUAUUUUGUCUGUGCAGUCUGAUUGAAACUGCAGCCAUAAGAAAUAAAUGAUAAUAAUUGUUAAAAAAUCAUGUGAAAUACUACUACUACUACUUAUUAUUAUUAUUAUUAUUAUUAGUAGUAGUAGUAGUAGUAGUAGUUUUUAAUAAUCCUCAUCCCUGAUCUGCUAUUUUGUUUAAACAUUGUAAAGUAUUAUUUAGAGUACAUAAUAUUAUAAUUAAAUUUGGGCAGAGGCAAACAUAUAAUUUUGAUCUAUGCAAAUAUAUUAGUAUUUGAUAAUAAGAUUGUGCAAUCGAUUUUGAGACCCACUUUUGUUACCAUGGACGGUGAUGUCCUUAAAGCUUUUGAAGGCAAUCAGAAAGCAAGUAAUUUUUAUUUUAAAUAUAAAUGUAAAAGAAAUGUGAGUACUAUGAUUAAAAAUCAUUUACUAUGCAAUUUAUUGUGAAUCACAAUGGUGAGUGUGUGUCUAAAUGUUACGUUUCCUGGUGUGAGAUUUCUGACAUUUUUAGAUGUAGGCAACUUGUCUGUUAACUCUAACAUGAUUAACUUUAUUUUUAGACCAUUUGUGGCAUUGAACUAAUUUGUCCUGUAAUGGAUCUAAUAAAAGAUUACAUUGAAAACAAA
Molecule: long non-coding RNA, 2861 nt
Organism: Pangasianodon hypophthalmus (striped catfish)
Lineage: Eukaryota; Metazoa; Chordata; Actinopteri; Siluriformes; Pangasiidae
Exons: 6
Source: RefSeq, a predicted model, not a curated record